GUGGGGAAUAUUGGGCAAUGGGGGAAACCCUGACCCAGCAACGCCGCGUGAAGGAAGAAGGUUUUCGGAUCGUAAACUUCUAUCCUUGGUGAAGAUAAUGACGGUAGCCAAGAAGGAAGCCCCGGCUAACUACGUGCCAGCAGCCGCGGUAAUACGUAGGGGGCAAGCGUUGUCCGGAAUGAUUGGGCGUAAAGGGCGCGUAGGCGGCCUGGUAAGUCUGGAGUGAAAGUCCUGCUUUUAAGGUGGGAAUUGCUUUGGAUACUGUCGGGCUUGAGUGCAGGGGAGGUAAGCGGAAUUCCCGGUGUAGCGGUGAAAUGCGUAGAGAUCGGGAGGAACACCAGUGGCGAAGGCGGCUUACUGGACUGUAACUGACGCUGAGGCGCGAAAGUGUGGGGAGCAAACAGGAUUAGAUACCCUUGUAGUCC
RNAcentral lists this ribosomal RNA (425 nucleotides) under uncultured bacterium. Its description in RNAcentral is "partial 16S ribosomal RNA". It matches the Rfam family "Bacterial small subunit ribosomal RNA", at positions 354 to 796 of the family's 1533-position model. The record is from RNAcentral.